Molecule: ribosomal RNA, 361 nt
Filed under: Bacillus cereus
Lineage: Bacteria; Bacillati; Bacillota; Bacilli; Caryophanales; Bacillaceae
Description: bacterial SSU rRNA
Rfam family: Bacterial small subunit ribosomal RNA
Source: RNAcentral
GCGCGCGCAGGUGGUUUCUUAAUUCUGAUGUGAAAGCCCACCCCUUAACCGUGGAGGGUCAUUGGAAACUGGGAGACUUGAGCCCUUAAGAGGAAAGUGGAAUUCCAUGUGUAGCGGUGAAAUGCGUAGAGAUAUGGAGGAACACCAGUGGCGAAGGCCACCUUCUGGUCUGAAACUGACACUGAGGCGCGAAAGCGUGGGGAGCAAACAGGAUUAGAUACCCUGGUAGUCCACGCCGUAAACGAUGAGUGCUAAGUGUUAGAGGGUUUCCACCCUUUAAUGCUGAAGUUAACGCAUUAAACACUCCGCCUGGGGAGUACGGCCGCAAGGAUGAAACUCAGAGGAAUUGGACGGGGGCCCG